GGACUUCCACGGCUUGUCCCAGGAGCUUCUACAACAGCUGGCAUUGAGAGUUCAGUUAUAAUAUUUUUCGCCAGUUUUUCCCAGCCCGGCCCCCAAGCGUCUGAUUUUAAAGUUCCCGCCUCAGGCUCCGGGGCGCCUACCCUGCAAGGGCGCCAGUUCUCCGACACCUGCUAGGGAAUGAAUCCCCAUCCCAGGAGGAGGGCGUGGCGGGGACGGAAGAAACAACCACACGAUCUGUGACAGUGACCAAGCUUUAGAGGCCCCGCGUGCCUGCCGGGCGCCUGAGCCCACACCGUCCACGCUUCCCUGCCCCGGCGGGAACCAGCUGUUCUCCUUGCACCGGCGAGGGCGCGGGGUCACCCCCGCCGGGCCGACCCCAGGCGUGAGCUCCAGAACCCCCUCCCAAUCGCCCCGUCUUGGGAGCGCAGGGAGCCUGGCUCUUCCCUGCCAAUAACGAAGUCAUCACGGACAUUAGGAAAGCGGGGCGAGGCUGGGAAGGGAGCGGCUUUUAUCCGGGGUCCGCCCCCUUCAAUUCUCCAGAGCAGCGGUCCCUAAAGUGGGGUCGGGACGGGGAUUGAGGCUGAGCUCGCUUCUUCCUUGUUUUCCGGUUCUUGCGCCUCUGAAGCGAACUAGGCCUGGAGGAGUGCUGGGGGUCGAGAAAACAGGGUUGGGGGUGACCGAGAGAAAGGUGGGGCGGGCCCCUGGGCCCCGGUCGAGGCGGAUUCCGAGGCGGAGCCGCUGCCUGCCUGCGCCUCGCCUGCUCGGUCCACCCAACAGCUCCGCCCUAGACUCGCAGCUGCGGAAGCGGUGGGCCGGGUGGUGAUUACAACCCUGAGCGCUGUCCCUUUGGAACCUGACUCCCGACUCCGCUCAACAACCGGGACGUUGCGACCUCAAAGCCCUCUGUGCUUCUCCAUCGAUACCGGGCCGCCUCUCUCGCCUGCAGCGCACGCCUCCGCCCCCAGGGGCAGCGCAGCGAGGCGGAGACCCUCCUGCAUUCCGAGCGUGCGGGGCAGCCCUCAGACUGAAGACCUGCGACUUCGUGGGACGCUGGUGUCCGCCACUGCGCCCCUCCAGGGAGCAGAGGCGGCUCUGGAAGUCGGUUUAGGGCGGACACCGCGACUGGAGGGGCGCAGAACGCUCUUCCCAGCGUCCCGGGCUCCACCGGCACAAUUUUAAAACCAGGGGCGAAAUCCGAGUCCUGCCGCCACGCGGGGGUGGAGCGUGACCGCCUCGCCGCGCGCUGUCUCAGGCUCCGCCGGCUUUAGCGCCGCGAGGCUGCCAGGUAAAAUACCUCUUUUCUGACAAGACUAGGACUCUUACAUAGACUACCAUGAACUAAAAGAAGCACAACAUUGCCAGAGUAACCUGUGAUACUGUCUUCAUGCGAACUUGGUAUCCUGUUUCCAUCCCAGCCUUCUAUAACCCAGUAACAUCUUUUUGGAAACCAGUGGGUGAGAAAGACACCUGGUCAGGAACGCGGACCACAGGACAACUCAGGCUCACCCACGGCAUCAGACUAAAGGCAAACAAGGACUCUGUAUAAAGUACCGGUGGCAUGUGUAUUAGUGGAGAUGCAGCCUGUGCUCUGCAGACAGGGAGUCACACAGACACUUUUCUAUAAUUUCUUAAGUGCUUUGAAUGUUCAAGUAGAAAGUCUAACAUUAAAUUUGAUUGAACAAUUGUAUAUUCAUGGAAUAUUUUGGAAUGGAAUACCAAAAAAUGGCAAUAGUGGUUCUUUCUGGAUGGAAGAUAAACUUUUCUUCUUUAAAAUAAAUUUUAUUUUAUAUAUUUGAGGUUGACCACAUGACCUUAAGGAUACAUAUAGACAGUAAACUGGUUACUACAGUGAAGCAAAUUAACAUAUCUACCAUCUUACAUAGUUACAUUUUUUUGUGUGACAGGAACAGCUAAAAUCUACGUAUUUAACAAAAAUCCUAAAGACAAUACAUUUUUAUUAACUAUAGCCCUCAUGAUGUACAUUAGAUCUCUAACUUGAUCAUCCUAUAUGUCUGCUACUUUGUAUUUUCUUAAUGUACGUCUCCCCAUUUGCUAUUGGUCAUUUCCUAUUUGGCUCAUUUUUCAACUGGGUUGUUUUCCUGUUAUUAAAAGAGUUCUUUAC
Long non-coding RNA from Gorilla gorilla gorilla (western lowland gorilla), 2122 nucleotides. RefSeq lists it as uncharacterized. The record is from RefSeq and is a predicted model, not a curated record. NCBI's taxonomy places the organism in Eukaryota, Metazoa, Chordata, Mammalia, Primates, Hominidae. The transcript has 3 exons.